Molecule: non-coding RNA, 138 nt
Filed under: Nocardiopsis flavescens
Lineage: Bacteria; Bacillati; Actinomycetota; Actinomycetes; Streptosporangiales; Nocardiopsidaceae
Source: RNAcentral
AUCGGAAACGGUGGGACGGGCGGCCGGGGAGAAUCUGGGAAGACCGGUGAGAGUCCGGCACAGGCCCGCUGCGGUGAACCGGGCCCCCGAAGGGGGGACCCGGCAAGUCCGAAGACCGGCCCCGCAUCCGUCAGACCC